CCUGUUUAUCAAAAACAUGGCUCUUUGUUUUUAUUACUAUAAGGAGUCGGACCUGCCCGGUGAAGAUAUUUUAACGGCCGCGGUACUCUGACCGUGCAAAGGUAGCAUAAUCAUUUGCCCUAUAAUUAAGGGCUAGUAUGAAUGGUUUGACAAGAGCAGCACUGUCUCUGCAAAAAUACUUAGAAUUUAAUGUUCAAGUGAAGAAUCUUGAAUUAAAUUAAUAGACAAGAAGACCCUAUCGAGCUUAAAACAAUUAAGUGGAUUUUAUUUGAACUAUAUUUUAGUAUUCUUUUCCACUUAAAAAUUUUGGUUGGGGCGACUGAGGAACAACUAAAGCUUCCUAGAUACUAUUUACCUAUAGGUUUUGAUCCGACUAUUUCGAUUAAAAGAAUUAGUUACCGUAGGGAUAACAGCAUAAUCCUUUUUGAGAGUCCAUAUCGAAAAAAGGGUUUGUGACCUCGAUGUUGGACUAGAAUAUCCAGAAGAUGCAGAAGU
Molecule: ribosomal RNA, 495 nt
Filed under: Alviniconcha adamantis
Lineage: Eukaryota; Metazoa; Mollusca; Gastropoda; Provannidae
Description: partial 16S ribosomal RNA
Rfam family: Bacterial large subunit ribosomal RNA
Source: RNAcentral